Long non-coding RNA from Calidris pugnax (ruff), 8244 nucleotides. RefSeq lists it as uncharacterized. Lineage: Eukaryota; Metazoa; Chordata; Aves; Charadriiformes; Scolopacidae. The transcript is spliced from 7 exons. The record is from RefSeq and is a predicted model, not a curated record.
CGCUGCCGGCCCCGGCCGCUCGCCCCGCGCCGCUGAGAGGAGCCGCGGUUGGGCCCGCCGGACCCCGGGCGGCGGCGGAGCGCGGCGGUCGGCCCCCUUUCCGCACCGCCGCCCUGAGGGGGAACCGCGGGGUCCCCGGCGGAGGAGCCCCGCGGGAGAUGAGGAGGGGCGGCCCCGCUCACCCGGGGGCUCGCCGGCUUUCCCAGCGCCUUGAAACCUGCCCGGUGGCAUCUCCAACCAUCUUCCUCCCCGGCUCUCGGCGGCUGGAAGCACGGUUGAAGGCCUUGAUGCCUGUGUCUCUUUUCUUCCCCCCCAACCUGUGUAAAGCUUUGCAGAUUGUUCCACUCAGCAAAUUUACUCCUUAAACUCAGGCCACAGAUAAAGGAAACGUCUUGGUCUCAACUACUCUGAAUGUGAGGGGCCUUGAUAGGCAUAUUGAAGACGUCACUUAAAAGAGUAAUGGAGCCUAUGUGAGCUGCUCUGCAGAACCGGAGAGCAGAUGCAGCCUCAGUCUCGACAGAGCUCCUUUCCCAACAUCGCAGCCAGCAUUGCAUGGUGUUUUUGACAGAAAACUCGAAACUAGAAUACUAAUAAUGGAAGUAGCUGGAGGCAGAAGAAAAUAUGGGAUGUGCAAACAUAAAAAGAAAUAGAAAACCUCAAAUAACAAAGGCGCUAUUCUUCGCCCAGACUAAUCCAAGGCUCCAGAUUACUUUUAAGACCAAUGCUUAUUUUACCUCUGCAAUGAAAAUCAAACCAUUGGGAGCUAAUCAACUGAUUCCUUAGAGGAAGACUGAGGGUAACAUUCUGAUGGCUGUCACCUGCCUGACCUCCACAGCAAUGGAGAGGAACCUCCUGGGAACUCAACCAGGGAAGGAUGAAAACAUCCACAAGACAAAACAAUUUUAAGAGAGCUGAUUCUUUUUUGAGAGAUCGCUGUUACUCCCCUUCCCACACUUGAAGUUCUCCCUUACACAAGUCUGACAAGCAUCAACUGGCAGAGAGGAAUGUGCUGCACACCUGGAAGACUCAGCAAUACCACCUUUCUAGUCAUCUCUGCAGAUCUUCCCUCUUCUCCCCUAAAACCAUGCAAGAGAAGCACAGGAAAGUGAGACACACAUACACACCACCAGCACCACCCCCAUAGUACUUUCAUGGUGCCCAUUGCUACAGCUGACUAAACAAGUUCACUGAGGUCCUCAGAAUCACAGCUGCUUUUAUUUCCCCCUUAGUCUGAGCAGUUAAAACAUGUGCAAACAUGUAAUAAAUUAGGCUGUAAGAAGCUAAAGCUCCCUUAUUUAGCUGGUGUAGAGCAGGUGAUAACUGGCUUGCACAAGGAUGCAUUCUUAGAGGUACAUUUCUUCUCAGCAGCUGAUUGCUAACUGCACAAUAUCAGGAGUUUACACAUCUAAGACAAUCACUAGAUUUUUCUCACAAGGAAGGUAAGCAAAGAUUGACCAGAGGAUGUGGUUCUGGAGGGGCGUGUGGGCUUUAUUUGAAUCAAUUUCAUUUGAUGUAAUGAUGCUUCUAACAGGUACCCUGGGGGGUUGCUAUUCCCCAUGAUCUAUGAAUCUGGUAUGACUGAGGGUUACAAGGUACUACGUGGGUCUAAUACUGCAGGGGGUCAAACCUACUGAGCAGCUUGAUAAUCAGUCUAAAGGCCAUCCUGGCAGGUCCCAGGAGAGGUUUAAGAACACAAAAGAGCUGAACUUCCAGGUCCUGUCUCCUCCAAAAAUGCCAGAGACUGAGCUAGAAAUGGUGCCUGAACUCUGCCCAGACCGAGAUGGUUUGGAUGCACAUGGGAUCCAAAGUUCAGACCAAAUUGCCAAGAAUCCUGGUGACAAUUAUUUGAAGGACUCUGCCAGUUUUGUAAUACUAUACCACACUAUCUGUUUAUUGUGGAAAUGAUUGUAUUUGCAUGAUUUUUUUCCUGUCCUACAUACUAAAAUUAUCCCUGUUUAAUAGCUGGAGAGGAAGCAGAACUACAGCAAUAUGAAAUUAUUUGCCCAAGGCCAUGCCGUGUUUCUUUUGCAGACAUAAGAAUAUGAAUUCUUAUUUCUUGCCUAUCAAAUUAGUUCUAGUCCCCACUCUGAUUCUCACACCUUAAUCAAGUGAUGAUUUUUCUGUUUUUACGGAUUCUUCUGACACAGCAUUGAAUGGGUGCAAGCCUUUAAGUAGCUUGCUAAUCUUUGGGUUUGAGACACCAGUGGAAUGUAUUUGAAAUAAAAGCCAAAGUAAUUAUCUGAAAACCAAAAUUAACAAAAAGAAGGAAUUCAUUCUACUGAUACAUGUACUUAUGCGGCCAGUUGUUAGGCCGCCUUGCUAACCAUGUUUCACAAAAGCAUGAAACAUAUAAUGAAAUGAAACAUACAAUGAAAUAUAACCUUUGUAUUCACCAGCAUGAGGAAAAUGAUGAAGGCUGACAAAUGGUGUUAGAGUGUCACUGGAUAACUGACAUCAAGAGUUGUAACUAUGGACAAAUCUCUCUGAAAAACACUUUUUGAGGAUUCACAAAAUCUCCGUUAGAUUGGGAAGAAAUCUAAAGCAUGUGUAGGGGGAGAAUGGAAGAGACAAUGUUUUCCUUGUCUGGUGGUUGUGGAGGUCUUACAUAUUCUUCUGAAUACUUUGUACUGACUGCUGACAGAUGAAUGGAAUCCUGGGUCUGAUUCAGCUGCCAAGUUCUUGGUUGGCUCUAAGGCACGUCAAAAUAUUAAGUUCUUGACCUUGCCUUUUGCAAAUGUAUUAAUUGCCUAAAAUGCAUUGGCAAUCAAUUAAUUGCAGUGAUGCAAAACACUAAAGCAGCAUGUGUCUGAUGAUGAAUUUCAGACAUGAAUUUACAAGGCUGGAACUCUCCUUCAAAUCCUGCUUGCUAUGACCUGCACUAUGUGUCAGGAGAAGAGGAAGAGCUGCAGAACCUCCUCCCAGGCCACCCAUGAAGGCUGUACCUGCCCUGAAACCUCUGGGCUGGAUUCUCAGCAGGUCUGACUCAAUCUAUGUUCCUUCAGCCUCCUGCAAUCAUCAGCUCUGAUCCAGAGCCUCUGCUCUGUCCGCCUACAGGCCCUGUGGUACAGUACGCAUCAAGAUUACAGGAGGUUCUCCAGCAAAGAAGUAUUUGUUGUGCUGUAAAUGUCUUGAAGCCCCAAAUUGUCAGGACAAGCCUGUGCAAAACCUUGUAAAAUGGAAGUGCCCUCUGGAUGCAGGUGCUUGAAUUUUUGAGGUAUCUUUGGGUCUUUUUCCACAGAUUGCUUUAUAUUUGGGACAAUGGCAGGAUGCUGAGACAGUCCAUUCUAGUGAGGAACAGGCUAGCUGGGAGUAGAAGGAAGUAGUUUGAAACCAUUUGUGUGUCGGAUGUCUCGGAUUAAAAUACAUCAGAAUACAAAUUACUCUUGUUACAAUAGUAUUUCAAAACAAAGCACUUAUUUAAAAACAAAUACACUUUAUCCGGAUAUAAUUAUUCCUAAUGUGGCAUUUAAGUGGUGAACAAUCACCCAGUAACUGCUUUUGUUCUGCUGCAAUGACACUCUGUGGUUUAUCACCUGUUAGCUUCUCAAGCUAGACUCCUUGCUUUAUGCUAGGGUUAAUUUUAACCAGCUCAUGACUGCAAACUUUUAACAGCUUGGUUUACACUAGGGUUUGAAAAGGUGUCAGUAAACAGUGCAUGUUAAGUUAAAGCUUUCUCUAGCAGUCUCGGUGGGUAAGCACAGCCACAAGGUACAUAAGGGUAACAGCUGCCAAGUGAGCUGAAAGAUUUUUCACGGUGGGGUCUCCCUUUCUCCCAGUUCUCAGCCUGGCAAGAUGGAUAUGAUCUGGCUGCCAGCAUGUGCCACUGCCUCAAUCUCCUGCAUGCCAGAAAGCUGACUAUUUCCAGCACCCCGGUUUCCACACAGCAUGUGCACAAGGAGGCCAAAUUUCCAAAGAGUGAAGUUUGGCUCACAGGUGGGGCCAGAUCACUCAGACUUUCAGGCAGUUAAGCAAUACCAAGGAUUCAUUUCCAGCCUGGUCACCACACUCCCUACAGACGAUGGUUUAGCUUUUUUUAAAUUGUGGCCUCAAUUUUGUGUAACAGACUUGUAGGCAACUGGCCUUUGGGUUAACUUUGACAUAUGGUAGAUGUUGCACAUUCCUUAGUAAAUUGUCUGCUACCGUGAAGCCAGGAGGAAUGCCCCAGGAGAAGAUUGUGUCUUUGCUACAUGAAUUUAUGUAAAGCAUUUGGAGUAAAACAGCUUCUCCCUGGGGAAUCUGUCUCAGAAAAGAAUUUGCACAUAUAAUGACACCUCCAAGAGUUCAUCCAAGUGGUUGUCCAUGGGACGCUCCCACUGUGCCUUCCGGAGCCAUGGGGCAGGGUGGCAGCACGUGGGCUGCAGCUGUUGCUCACCCCUGUGGCACAUUUCUCUCCUGGCAUGUUCGCACAGGUGGCAUUGCAGUCUGCAGUUUUCUUUGGAAGGGUGUGACUCUAAUUGUUUAUGUCUAAUUGCUGUAUUCCUCUUUUGUCAUCAGUUGCAAAAGCGAGCAGACCCUCCGCACCUCACACCUUGUCCCUGCUGGCGUACCUGCCAUUCGUGUGGGAGGCAACAAGGCAGGUCCUACUGGAGCCCAGGGGUAGCGGGGUGGACAUGGCAGAGUGGGCAGCCCCACACCGAAGUCAUCUUACCAGGUGCUCUACCAGGGGCACCGGGCACCCUCACAGCCACCCCAGGUGGAAGUCAAUCAGGAGACCAUUUCUGUCCAUCCCGGCCACCCAGUGAGCUGCAGCCUGCUGUCCCCCAGGUUAUGGCAUCAGAAGACAAAGAAUUCAAAACCAGCCUUACACAGAUUUUCCUCCGAGUAAAUCCCAGUCUUAGGAGCCUGAAGCAUAAUGGAGUGGCAAGGCAAUUAUUUUUUUCCUCCAACUGCUAAUCUUCCUUAGGUUUUGGCCUGUCUUUUUUGCUGAUUCUCAGAAAGGGUGAUUUGUAGGUGUUUAUUGUUGAAAUUUGAAGUGAUUUAAAAUGAAUGCUUAAAUGUAGUAUGACUUUCAGAACUAAGUUAUUCAUACAUUAAUAAUUUUCUAAGCAGUUAAUACUUUUUAAGGACUCCUGUAAUUUAUUAGCACACUUCAUAUCUUAUAGUUUAUGCAGAAAUGCCAAUUAACCCACACAAUGUGCUGGCAAGACAGAUGAGGAUUAAGUCCCUACAGCCAUGGGAAUAGCAGAGAUGCAGUGACCUGAAAAUUGUAUCCUUAGCUCCCUUGCCUGUAAUUAACAUAAAUUCACCAGUAGAGUGCCUUUCCUCUUUUUAUUAAUCCUUUAUCUCCAGUCCUGGAUCUCUGUUGCUCAAGCAAUUAGGACAGAUAGCUUAUGGUUUCUUGAUUCUUUCAGGUCUGGCUUCAGACUUGCAAGGGCUGCCUGACCAGACUUGAUAAACUGGGAGGCAUGAGGGACGGGGUACCACCAUCCUGCAUAUGUGCAAUAAACUUCCAGUUAUGCAGAAAUGCCAAGGCAUGUGCCCAACCAGCUUUCAAGCUCCUAUUUCUUGUGCAUUUGUUUUCAUUGCACAGUUCUGAAUAUGCAUUAUGCCCUCUCUUCUUCAUUCAGUGUCACUCCUUCCAGACUUUUUUUUGGUUCUUUGCUGCCUGCUGGCCCACAAGUACAAUAUGCAGUGUAAGACUAUGGAGAACGCCUUUUGCACGUGCAGCAGAAGCCAAGAAGGAAGGACUUACGGCCUUGUCUUCACUAAUAGAUGUACAGUUCAGAAUAGGAUGACAAAAAUAUUUUAAUAGGGAACCAAAGUGAUUGCUCCAAUGCUGUCCCCCUUGUUUCCAGAAGCAAAUAGUGACAAUAGAGUCUACUGUUCUAACUCCAGUUGCUGUUAAUUGGCAUAAAUUUUCAUGGAUCUUUUGCUUCUGGCUUGAAUUUCAGAGCUACCCAGCUGUCACUAGAGCCAGGCAAAUGAGCAGAGCUGCAGAUGCAUGCGAUAGCUGACUAGGAGGACAUUUGAAACUGCUCAAGUCCUGAUAUGGCUACCAGCAUCACCACACAACUCGACUAUUAGAGAGAAAGAGAUGUCUAACAGAAGCUUUGAGAGAUUUCACAACCAGUAUUAGAUGGCUGUGGGGAAUACUGAGAGUAAUACAGGAGUUAGGUUGGUAAAGAAGUUCGUUACAAUUUUCUUUUUUUCUCUGUGAAAUUACUUAAGGUUUCAUCUCAAAAUAAAGAGGAAUGCAAGCAUUUGUGUCCUUAAAAAAAAAAAAAUCAAUAUACUACUUCUCAGAUUUUAGUAGUGUAAAAAUUAAGGUUAAGGGAGGCAGCAGGCUUCACUGAGGCAACAGGAAAACUUCAAAAGCAUUAGGAUGCUAAUGCUGCUGCUCAGAGUUUCAAGAAGACUAAGCUGUGUUUUGGCUUAGCAAUCUUGUCCCACCAACUGAGAUAUUUAUAAUGUUAUGCUCCUUUGUGCACCUCUUUGAAUGUAGUUCAUUUGUUAAGCAGGAGGGGUCUUAAAAUUGGUAAAACAUUCCCUUAACAAGUUCUGACACAAAGGAGAGCUAGAAACUUACAGCUAAAUGAAAUGAUGGAGAAGGCAAGAAUCAGUGUGCUGUGAAAUAAUUCCAUGAGUCACAGUGACAAAAGGAUCCCCAGGAGUCACCAGCUGACAAUGCUAGAGCAGGUCUAUAGAAGGAAAUACAUCUAGUGAUUUAAUGGGCAAAAUUGAUAGGAUUAGGGGGGUGCUGAGAAGCAGUUGAUUGGAGUCAUCUGUUUAAGAUAGAAUGACAUUAAAAGUAGAAGGUCAUAGGAUUUAAGGAUUAGGAAUAUUAAUCUUAGAAAAACAACAAACUAAGAAGUCAAAGCUGCUGGACAGUUGUCUUUGGCAUAUUAUCAGUUACUGCAGCAGGGGAAGAAUAGUGGCAUGUGAUAGGCAUGGGUUUGUAGUUGAGCUAUGUAUGGAGAUGUGUUUGUUCUACUUGUAAAACCACCAACGUAUCUUCAAAUUAUACUUUUUUUUUUUUUUAAAGGCCUUUAAUAGCUAGACUGGGGAGGCAAAGGUUGUUAAAUAAUCUUUUUCUUAACAUCAAUCCUGAUAUGUGUCAUCAGAAACAGACAAGAUGAGACAAAACUAGAACAUGCUAUUAAAAGGUUGCUGGAAAAUGCCAGUUAUGUUAUAAUUUAUGCAAUGACAGGGGAGCAAUUAACUGCUAAGGUGGAUCUUGUUUCUGAUUACAGUUAUUUCACACAGCUAACAUAGACAUACCGUCAGCUGGGUCUAUGUAGUUUUGGCAUAGAGAGAGAGAGGUAGAGGUGGAAGCAGAUUAUUUUUGGUCUCUCCAGCAACCUUUGGGUUGCACUUUCUAUGAACAUAGGAGUUCCCCGGUAUGAUGUUGUGUCUCCAACCCAAUGUCAUGUUAUAGCAUGGCCAGCCCAAGAAGGCGCAACUGGCAGCCACUCUAUUAGCAAAUUUCAUUCUUGAGUGAUGGUUAAGUAAGAUAUUUUGCUAUUGUUUAAGAUUGGGAAAUAGUAUAUGAAGUGGCCCUUAAGGUAAGUGAUGUGCUGUGGACAAGACACAUUAUCUCUAAUCCUGCCAGGCAGACCAUAAACCAUCCUUAAGUCAUUCACUGCCAGGUGCAGUUCCCUUCAUAGCUGCUUCACCUGAUCCCUGAGUCAGUCAGAGGUGCCAUUGGUGCUCAGGCUUCUGCUAGUGCUGCUUCCUUCUCCUCUGAAACUAUUGGCAACAGAGUUCUGCUGGAAGCCUUUGUGAUGGUCCUUUCAGUGACUCUUUUUCUGUUACCUGGACCUUUUACAGAAUAAACAGUAAGUGCUGAGGUAGAUGAAGAAUGAAAGAUGAGGGUUUUUUUUUAAAACACAAAUCCGUAUAUGUUCUUAGGCUGGUACUUUUUUCCAUCCUAGAGCUGGAAAUCUGGCAGAGUUGUUCCAAAUCCAACUGGUAUUGGUGAAAUCCUUGCUUGUGGUUGUGUUCACCUCACUCCAUGCUGUGUUUUACUAGAUUAGUAAACAUGUUGAGAAUGUUGUGGUAAACAUGCUUACUGCUUUCAAUAUUUGUGGGUGAGUGAUUUUUAAAGCAUAUUUUAGUACCCUCCUAGUUCUUAUCGAAACAACCUCUGCCUAUAUACUCUUUGCUGUAUACUGAAAUAUACUUUGCUGUAUGCUGAAACUCUAUACUCAGUUUCUAGGCGGAUUUUGCAAUCAAAGCAGCAUGAAAUCAAACAGAACAUCAGAGUUCUGUGAGUGCACUAAUAAACACGUUGACUGACCAUCUAAA